AUGCAGGGUUCUCACCCGGAGUUUGAGCACAUCCCUACAAUAAGACGACAGCCGACCACCACCACCAUCGAACCCUUCAAAAGACGAAGAAGCACGACAAGCCGCCAGAGCCAACCGCACCUUGCGGAGACCACCGACAACCAAACGUCAGCACUAGGCGCCAGAUCCAUCAACGGCCGCCGGAGCGCAGGCCACCAUGCCCUUCCGAGCACCAUGCCGGCAAGGAGCAGAGGAGCAAUGCCCGAGGCCAGGAACCACCAUGGUCCGGGCUGCAGCCAUACAUCAGGUGUGCCAACACGCCCCACGCGCGCCACCGCACAUCCGUCGGAGACCAAAACCGAAGCGCCGCCACGCCAACAGAAAGCAGUGAGAUCAAGACCGGCUGUAGCAGAAUCGCCACCACCCCCCACCACCUCCACAAGCACCGCCAUCCAUCUCUGCCCUAAGUCGGACGACCAUGGGCCGAUCGAAUCAUCACAUCAGCACAUCCGCAGGUCAGCCUCGCCACAGCGCCAAAACACCACACCACCGCCACCACUUGCCGGAACGACCGCAGUCCCCCAACCACCACCCUCGCCGGCCGGAGACCCGCACGGUCCAGAUCUGGUUGCCCGAACAGCCGCCACAUGGAGCCAGGAGCACUCACGACCAUCAUGCGAGGAGGGGCGAUGCGGGAGCAGCCGGAAGGUGCCGCACCCAGGCACGGGCGCCGGCCAACGAGCCGAGUCGUCACCCGCACGCGCUGGCCCAGAUCGGGCCUGCACCAUUGCCACGCAGAUGCAUCCCACCCGCGCAGCCACAGCUCCACCUCGCGCCAUGGCCGACGCCCCGAGCCGCCCCCUCCCGCCAGAGGGGAAGCCGCCGCCACCGCCCGCCUCCGAGCGGCCAGAUCUAGCACGGCCCGUCGCCCUCCUCUGGCAACGAGAUGGCCGCGAGGAUCAGCAGUUAAAGCAGCAGUGGCAAGGCAGCAGCACAAGCAGAGCAGCGGCACAACGGCAGCAUCAGGCGCGGCAGCAAAAGCAGCAGUAUGGGCAGCCGAGCGAGCGGCGUGACGGGGGCACGCGGCCGGCGCAGCACGCCCAAGCGGACGCGGCCAGGGGAAUAGGGAAUGUCUUGGGCGCGCGGGCACGGCAGGGAGGAGCCCAAGUCGCGGGCUAG
This 1158-nucleotide ribosomal RNA is filed under the name Triticum aestivum (bread wheat). Its description in RNAcentral is "partial small subunit ribosomal RNA". The record is from RNAcentral. Lineage: Eukaryota; Viridiplantae; Streptophyta; Magnoliopsida; Poales; Poaceae.